CUCCUGCCCACUCUGGGCUUCCUACCACUCUGUCCUGGUGGCAGGCUCUCUUCAGCUAGGGAUUAUAGAAGCAGGACUCCCUCCCCUUUCAUCAUGAAAGACUGACUGGCUUACAGUCUGUCUUUGAACCACCUAGAAGAGAGAAUGCUGUGUUCUCAGAACAAGAGCGCUAACUAAUCCUAAGGAAAGUGGCCUUGGGAACAGAAUCAAGAGCCGCAGAAAACACAAGAGAAAAGCUAUUGUGAUGGGUUUUAAAGCUUCCUGGAAGAUGAUUCAUGGUCUCUGCUUCCAAUUUAAAUUUUAACUGUCGUUUCCUAAAGAUCUUUAAGAAAUGAUGUCAUUUGUCCCCAGUUUUGUAAUCGGGCAGGUCAAGCUCCCGGUGGAAAUCCAAUGGAAAUGAACAUGAUAAUGGUUUUGAAAUAUGACCACCACAAAGCCUACAUCCCUCUGCACUGCACAGAGAGGAAGAAGCCAUAUUUUAUCCUACAGAAGCACAUCUAGCACAAGCGAUGGGCAUGCUGUCUUGUACAGGAGCUCUUCAUCACUACGAAAGUCCUGAAUAGAUCCUGGCUGCUGGCACACUCACCACUGUCACUGUCCACCCAGACCCUGUCAAAAGGCAUUGAAGUCCUCUGCUGACAGGACUUUACAGACUCCAACCGAGGCAGAUCUGAAGGGACACGGUUUUGUGACAUCAUCCCACACACCAGUCAGCCUCUGCGGGAGCUGCAGCUGUGGUGGUGGCAGCCACAGGAGCAGCAGCCACAAAUGCAGAUGGAUUAGCCAAGAAGGCCUUGACCUUUUCAGCAAGUGGGAAGGUGUAUUCAGUCUCCACAGACCAAGCAGGAUCUACUUGUAUCCACUGACGAUACAGUGUGCCUCUGAAGCAACAGUCAGCAAGCUCCAUGGGAAUUGUGUUCAUUAGGACCCUUUGGUUCUAAGGACCAGAAGCCAUCUUGAGCAAGCUACAACUCGGGAAUGGCAUUGCAGCAUUGGGGCACAGUGACUGCCUCUCAGAAGUGGCGGGGAAUGGGAGCUUCAAGGAGGAGUUGAAAAACAGUCAGAAUCAUGAACUUCUUCAUUCCAUUCAUUCUUUCAAGCUUGAUCUUUCCCCAUCACUGGGUAAAUUUAUGUUAAUGAACUAACAUGCCAAAAAUAUGAAUGAGAGCUUCCUCCACAAACAGCCUUUGAAUUAAGGCUCCACAGGUGAGUAGUUGACUUGGGUAGUUAUUAUCUUGACUUGGGUAGUCAUUGUCUUACUAAUAGAAAGGACAACAAAGCUAGCCAGGAAAGAUCUAUGAAAAGUCAAUGCAUGGAAAACUAACAAGCAAACGGCCUCCUCCUGCAAUUGCAUCUAAGUGGGGAACUUGGAGAAACAGCGGGG
This 1384-nucleotide long non-coding RNA is filed under the name Rattus norvegicus (Norway rat). Its description in RNAcentral is "long non-coding RNA NONRATT033076". Lineage: Eukaryota; Metazoa; Chordata; Mammalia; Rodentia; Muridae. The record is from RNAcentral.